GACGAACGCUGGCGGCGUGCCUAAUACAUGCAAGUCGUGCGGACCUUGUUGAAAGCUUGCUUUUAAAAGGUUAGCGGCGGACGGGUGGGUAACACGUGGGCAACCUGCCUGUAAGACUGGGAUAACGCCGGGAAACCGGGGCUAAUACCAGAUCGUUUUUUCCUCCGCAUGGAGGAAAAAGGAAAGGCGGCUUCGGCUGCCACUUACAGAUGGGCCCGCGGCGCAUUAGCUAGUUGGCGGGGUAAUGGCCCACCAAGGCAACGAUGCGUAGCCGACCUGAGAGGGUGAUCGGCCACAUUGGGACUGAGACACGGCCCAAACUCCUACGGGAGGCAGCAGUAGGGAAUCUUCCGCAAUGGACGAAAGUCUGACGGAGCAACGCCGCGUGAGUGAAGAAGGCCUUCGGGUCGUAAAACUCUGUUGCCGGGGAAGAACAAGUGCCGUUCGAACAGGGCGGCGCCUUGACGGUACCCGGCCAGAAAGCCACGGCUAACUACGUG
RNAcentral lists this ribosomal RNA (500 nucleotides) under uncultured bacterium. Its description in RNAcentral is "partial 16S ribosomal RNA". It matches the Rfam family "Bacterial small subunit ribosomal RNA", at positions 28 to 507 of the family's 1533-position model. The record is from RNAcentral.